UGGGGAAUCUUGCACAAUGGAGGAAACUCUGAUGCAGCGACGCCGCGUGAGCGAAGAAGCCUUUCGGGGUGUAAAGCUCUUACGCCAGGGACGAUAAUGACGGUACCUGGAGAAGCAGCUGCGGCUAACUACGUGCCAGCAGCCGCGGUAAUACGUAGGCAGCAAGCGUUGUUCGGAAUUACUGGGCGUAAAGGGUGCGUAGGCGGCGCUCUAAGUUUGGUGUGAAAUCUCCCGGCUUAACUGGGAGGGUGCACUGAAAACUGGGGCGCUCGAGUAUGGGAGAGNAAAGCGGAAUUCCUGGUGUAGCGGUGAAAUGCGUAGAGAUCAGGAGGAACACCUGCGGUGCAGACGGCUUUCUGGACCAUCACUGACGCUGAGGCACGAAAGCGUGGGUAGCAAACA
This 402-nucleotide ribosomal RNA is filed under the name uncultured bacterium. RNAcentral's name for it is "bacterial SSU rRNA". It matches the Rfam family "Bacterial small subunit ribosomal RNA", at positions 355 to 774 of the family's 1533-position model. The record is from RNAcentral.